AGCGUUAUCCGGAUUACUGGGCGUAAGAGUUGCGUAGGUGGCAGAGUAAGUUGGUAGUGAAAGCGUUCGGCUCAACCGAAUAUCCAUUAUCAAAACUGCUCAGCUAGAGGAUGAGAGAGGUUAUUGGAAUUCCUGAUGUAGGGGUAAAAUCCGUUGAUAUUAGGAGGAACACCGAUGGCGUAGGCAGAUAACUGGCUCAUUCCUGACACUAAGGCACGAAAGCGUGGGUAGCAAACAGGAUUAGACACCCUGGUAGUCCACGCUGUAAACGAUGGAUGCUAGCUGUUAUCGGUAUCGACCCCGGUAGUAGCGAAGCUAACGCGUUAAGCAUCCCGCCUGUGGAGUACGGUCGCAAGACUAAAACAUAAAGGAAUUGACGGGGACCCGUACAAGCGGUGGAGCGUGUUGUUUAAUUCGAUGGUAAGCGAAGAACCUUACCCAGGUUUGACAUCCUUGGAAUUUUGCCGAAAGGCGAGAGUGCUUUAUUGAACCAAGUGACAGGUUAUGCAUGGCCGUCGUCAGCUCGUGUCGUGAGAUGUUUGGUUAAGUCCAUCAACGAGCGCAACCCUUGUGAUUAGUUGAAUUUUUCUAAUCAGACUGCCCUGGUAACAGGGAGGAAGGAGGGGAUGAUGUCAGGUCCGUAUUUCCCUUAUACCUGGGGCUACAAACACGCUACAAUGGCCGGUACAAAGGGCAGCCAAGUCGCAAGACGGAGCAAAUCCCAUCAAAGCCGGUCCCAGUUCGGAUAGCAGGCUGAAACUCGCCUGCUUGAAGUCGGAAUCGCUAGUAACGGUAGGUCAGCUAUACUACCGUGAAUACGUUCCCGGGUCUUGUACACACCGCCCGUCAAACCAUGAAAGUCGCCAAUACUUGACGUGCCAGCUUGCCUGGCCCUAAGGUAGGGGAGAUGAUUGGGGUUAAGUCGUAACAAGGUAACC
Molecule: ribosomal RNA, 938 nt
Filed under: uncultured soil bacterium
Lineage: Bacteria
Description: bacterial SSU rRNA
Rfam family: Bacterial small subunit ribosomal RNA
Source: RNAcentral